Molecule: transfer RNA, 69 nt
Filed under: Sympagella nux
Lineage: Eukaryota; Metazoa; Porifera; Hexactinellida; Lyssacinosida; Rossellidae
Description: tRNA-His
Source: RNAcentral
AUAAAUAUAGCUUAAAUCAAAGCCAAGACUUGUGACGUCUUAAAUACAAAUAAUAAUUUGUUAUUUAUA